Myotis brandtii (Brandt's bat) is the source of this 2517-nucleotide RNA transcript. RefSeq lists it as uncharacterized. The record is from RefSeq and is a predicted model, not a curated record. The transcript is spliced from 5 exons. NCBI's taxonomy places the organism in Eukaryota, Metazoa, Chordata, Mammalia, Chiroptera, Vespertilionidae.
AAGGUCUGGCUGAUGCCGUGCUCGGGCCUGAAGGGACCCGGCGCCCUCAGCUUUUCCCCGGCGACGCCUCGCGCUCUCCUCAGCCCCUUCUCCUCCCCAUCUCGCCCCCCAGUCCGCUGUCCUGUCUCCAACCCGGCUCGGGGAAAACUCCCAGCGCCAAAGACAUCCACAUCAAAAGCUGAGCCGGCCCGACUCUGAUUUGCCGACAUGUCUCAAGCCUCAGCAGCUCAACCCGCGGGCUAGAAACCUCACAUUUCCAAGCUGGGCUCGCAGCUCGCUCGGCUCGGGGCAAGAUCUUCUCCCCCUCCCUCCAGCUGAAACCUCGCAGAAAACUCCCCCUGCGGUCGACUGGAAAAUGAACUCACCCAAAUCUCGGGUCUUGUACUUUUCUCCACCGCCAACAUGUAUACAGUUUUCUGGCACAAACGCCCCGCCACAGGCACAUCACGCGGGAGGUGAAGGCAGGCCCGCGUGUCAAAGCCAAGGGGAUCCAGAGAUAAAAAAAGAAAGUUCAGAAACAACACUGGCUGGCUGGCUGUUUAAAAGAAACAACAUAGCCAAACACACUCCAAAUCAAACAGCCUUGGUGGAUUGUUCAGCAUUUGAAGGCUUGAUCUUUUGUGCCGUCUACUGGACAAUGGAAAAACUACAGUCUCUAUGAUUUAAACUUUUCUCUUGUCCAGUGUUGGGGGUGGGGAGUGGGUAGGAAGGGGGAUGUGACUUGCUACUGGUAAAUAAUAAGAGAGGAAACGAGACCUAAUUUAGACUCAGAGUACAGAUCUUGUGACUUCAAAUCUUCAAAUCCAAGUUUAGGACAUUAUAUUAACUAUAGGCAUGCCUCAACCACUUGAUUAAGGCACAAGGCUAAAACCUACAUUUUACACAACUGUGUGUGUGUGUGUGUGUGUGUGUGUGUGUGUGUGUCUUGGCUUGGAAAGAGAAAGAAAGAUGGUGGGACAAGCUUAGCAUCUCUGAAAAAAAAUAUUGGUGGUUACUUGCCUCUGAGUGAGAAUUGGCUUGACAGCCAAGUUACAUGUAUUUAUUGCCUAGAUAAUCCAGGAUGUACAGGUUAAUUCUUGGAAUUUGGAACAUGAUAUUGUUCAAUAAUCCAGAAGAGUACUUUCAUGAGGGGAGAAAUGAAAUUGGUAAUUAGAACAAUGUUAGUGCAGUUACUUUUUGGCAAUCUUGGAUAAAAACGUGAAACUUCACUGUUUUCACUUGGAGACCACAUGUGGGAAAAAGUGAGGGUGAAAUUCACAGUCAGAUGCUUUUAUGUAGCAGAGGCUGUUUGAUGUUCUCUUAAACAUGUAAAAACAUUGUAUACAUUUUGGUUACGAUUUCAAAAAUAUUUAUAGAGCUCUAGUAUUAUGGAAGCUUCAUACAAAAAAUGCAUGGAGCUAACUUUGACCUCUGACAUUGACAUAGUUUCUGAAUAACCAUAAUUACCAUAUAGACGUGAUUUUGUGUAGGAAAAAUAUAAACAAAGCCCAAUGGCAAUGAAAUACAGAGAAGUCAAGCUGAUUUUGGUGGAAGAGACAGACUUGGGUACAAGGCUCUUAAAACAGUCCAUCUGCUUUUCUGAAGUUAAAACUCCCUAUUGAAUUUUAAUAUAACCUAGUAGUACACGACUAGUUGAUAGGGUGCCUUUCAAUAAUAAUCCAAUAGUGAAAAGGAGUCAGCUUUAGGGCAUUUUCUUGCUGCAUAAAUAUAUUUCAAUGAUCUACUUCAAAUGAUGUGGCAGUGUGUCAGAAUGACGUUAACAUAUUGUAUUAAAUAUAGAUACAGCAGAGAAUUGGGGCUGACGCCGACUCCUUAAAGCAAGGGAGAUUGCUUAUGUUGCAGAGUAAAAAUAAAUAAAUAAAUAAAACAGGAUGCUUUCGGUUGUGCUGCCGUGUGGCGGAGGGGGUGGUGGGAGUGGUGGACCAUGUCUCCUUAACUUUAGCAUAAUCAACUGGACUGUGAAAGGUUAUUUUCUGAGAUGCUGUUUGGAUCCCUUGGUCCAGAAUAAAGCAGCAACAACAGGGCUCUCCUAAGGAUCGCUAGAAAAUGUAGAAAAUUCUUACGGGAACCAAUUACCAGUACUCACACGCCUGAUACAUUCUAAGCGGACAGUGGACGUCCGGAGGGCUGGUGAAGGUUCUCUGGUCACCAAGUGCAAACAUUUAUCUUUGAAGCAAGAGGAUGGGCCAGACUGGUCAUGAUAAACAUUCAUGUUCCACUGGAUAAAGGGACAUAUUUUGUGAAAACCUUCAGGCAAAAAAAAAAAAAUCGUACUGAUUGUUCAAAAAUAAAUAUCUUAACAUUUCAUUGAGCUCUCUAAUGAAUGAGAAGAACAUCCUAGGCCUCCUGCAGCUCAGAAAGCAUCCUGGUAGCCUGAGACCCAGCGAAGGAACAGACCAGGAGCUGAAGGAGCCUGCUGAGUCGCUAUUCACUUGGGGAUAUCUGAAAACAUACUGUUCCAUGCCCUUAUUUAAAAAGGAAAAAUAAAUAUCAUAUUUCCAUGUCUUUUUCAAACAA